GACGAACGCUGGCGGCGUGCUUAACACAUGCAAGUCGAACGGUGAAGCGCCUUCCUUUUUGGUGGGUGUGGAUGAGUGGCGAACGGGUGAGUAACACGUGAGUAACCUGCCCCCUUCUUCUGGAUAACCGCAUGAAAGUGUGGCUAAUACGGGAUAUUCUGUGCCUGCUGCAUGGUGGGUGUGGGAAAGAUUGCGCUUUUGGGUGUUUUUGGUGGGGGAUGGGCUCGCGGCCUAUCAGCUUGUUGGUGGGGUGAUGGCCUACCAAGGCGGUGACGGGUAGCCGGCCUGAGAGGGUGGACGGUCACACUGGGACUGAGACACGGCCCAGACUCCUACGGGAGGCAGCAGUGGGGAAUAUUGCACAAUGGGCGCAAGCCUGAUGCAGCGACGCCGCGUGAGGGAUGGAGGCCUUCGGGUUGUGAACCUCUUUCGCCAGUGAAGCAGGCCUGCCCCUUUUGUGGGUGGGUUGACGGUAGUUGGAUAAGAAGCGCCGGCUAACUACGUGCCAGCAGCCGCGGUAAUACGUAGGGCGCGAGCGUUGUCCGGAAUUAUUGGGCGUAAAGAGCUCGUAGGCGGCUGGUCGCGUCUGUCGUGAAAUCCUCUGGCUUAACUGGGGGCUUGCGGUGGGUACGGGCCGGCUUGAGUGCGGUAGGGGAGGCUGGAACUCCUGUGUAGCGGUGGAAUGCGCAGAUAUCAGGAAGAACACCGGUGGCGAAGGCGGGUCUCUGGGCCGUUACUGACGCUGAGGAGCGAAAGCGUGGGGAGCGAACAGGAUUAGAUACCCUGGUAGUCCACGCCGUAAACGUUGGGCACUAGGUGUGGGGGGCCUUUUCCGGGUUUUCCGCGCCGUAGCUAACGCAUUAAGUGCCCCGCCUGGGGAGUACGGCCGCAAGGCUAAAACUCAAAGGAAUUGACGGGGGCCCGCACAAGCGGCGGAGCAUGCGGAUUAAUUCGAUGCAACGCGAAGAACCUUACCAAGGCUUGACAUGUGCCGGUCGGCUCCGGAGACGGGGUUUCCUCCUUGUGGGGCCGGUUCACAGGUGGUGCAUGGUUGUCGUCAGCUCGUGUCGUGAGAUGUUGGGUUAAGUCCCGCAACGAGCGCAACCCUUGUCUCGUGUUGCCAGCACGUUGUGGUGGGGACUCGCGGGAGACUGCCGGGGUCAACUCGGAGGAAGGUGGGGAUGACGUCAAAUCAUCAUGCCCCUUAUGUCUUGGGCUUCACGCAUGCUACAAUGGCCGGUACAGAGGGCUGCGAUACCGUGAGGUGGAGCGAAUCCCUUAAAGCCGGUCUCAGUUCGGAUCGGUGUCUGCAACUCGACACCGUGAAGUUGGAGUCGCUAGUAAUCGCAGAUCAGCAACGCUGCGGUGAAUACGUUCUCGGGCCUUGUACACACCGCCCGUCACGUCAUGAAAGUCGGCAACACCCGAAGCCCGUGGCCUUAUGGGGAGCGGUCGAAGGUGGGGCUGGUGAUUGGGACG
RNAcentral lists this ribosomal RNA (1479 nucleotides) under Actinomyces oris. Its description in RNAcentral is "bacterial SSU rRNA". It matches the Rfam family "Bacterial small subunit ribosomal RNA". The record is from RNAcentral. Lineage: Bacteria; Bacillati; Actinomycetota; Actinomycetes; Actinomycetales; Actinomycetaceae.